GCAUCCCUGUGGCUGUGGUGUAGGCUGGCAGCUACAGCUCUGAUUAGAACCCUAGCCUGGAAACCUCCAUAUGCCACGGAUGUGGCCCUGGGGGGGAAGAAAAGGCUAAGGAAAUAGCCUUGCUUCUCCUGGUGGCUGGCCCACUCCCCCCCCCCCGCCGCCAGCCUUAGUCCCUAGACCUGGGUGUCUAGGGGUCACGGCAGUCGUCCGGUCCCCUCGGCCAGUGUUUGCUAAGUGCUUGCACCCCCGUGGCCACCAGCUGGGUUUGGGCGCCUGGGGUGGGAGGAGUGGGGUGAGCGGGGUUCCCGCUCAGCGGGGACAGAGAGCACAGAGCGUGGAGCCAGGGGACAAAGAAAAACACCCAUCGUGUCACCCGCUGCCCUCAGCUCUGCUCAGGGCUCUGAUGUGGCGGGCAGGUGGCUUAGUGCCUGUGCUGGGCACAGGGUUCAGUCUGGGGCGCAGGAGAAGGUGACAGCAUCCUUGUCCUCAGGGGCUCAGUCCAGGGACCGAGGCCCUCCUUGACCAAGCUGUCCAGGCCGCCCUCAGCUUUCCAGCUAGGCCCUGACUUCCGGGCUCUGCAGUGUCCCGUCUUAGCACGAGUCCUGCCAGGUUGGUUUGGCUCGAGUCCCCCAUCUUCCCAUCUAAUUGUGUUCCUCCUGCCCCAUCCCAGCUGGCAGUGCCCUGUCUGCCUGCAGCAAGUGUGCUGCUGGCUCGGUUUACCCACCCCCCGGCUUCCUCGAGUCCUUUUCCAGCCUCUGACCCCACCUGCUCCUUGGCUGUGGGGCCUCACAUGCUUCUGGGUACGUGGAGUUGAACUUGAGUCUUUGCCGCUGCCUUUCUUCUCCCAAUUUACUCCUGAGUGGAGCCAGUUUUUAUCACUGAAACCACCAUCCAGCUCAGGUUUUUCUCUGACACGAGAGGCGAGCGGCAGACUGGGGUGCAUGUGAUUUAACCCUAAGAAGAAUCAAAAGAGGAAUAAAGCAUCGAGGGUUUCGAAAGAGGUGGAAGCCCGGCCAAGAGGCAAGUGAUGACACUGAAGAGGCCUGGGAGAUGGCGCUGAAAGGACGAGGUGUGUGAUUUGCAAAUAUUUGCCCCAAUUUGAGGCUCUUUUUUUUUAAAUUAUUCUUUUAACAAGUUCUUCCACAGAGUAACAGUCUUCAACAUUGUGCUGAAGUCUAGUCUAGUAACCUUUUUCCUUUAUGGAUUACGCUUUUGGUGCCGUAGCUACAGCCCAGCAACCCCACCCCAAGUCUGAAAGGUGUUCUCCCCCUUCUCAGUUCGGACCUUGCAAGCCCACGUCUUCAUUCAGGCCUGUGACCCUGCGAGUUAAUUUCAGGGGCCAGCAUCUCAGUUACCAAGCAUCCUGUGUGGGAAAGAUGACCCUUUGAAAGCUGCUACGACUCUGUCAAAACUCAGCUGGGGCUGUUCGUGUGAGACUGUCGGACUCCGUUCUUUUCUGUGGUCCGUGUGCACGUGGCUUUCCUCUUGGUAACGCUGCACCUGCCGAAGCCACCUGUUAGAUCCGGGACCUUUUUUUUAAACUGUUGAAUACUUGGGAUUUUCCGGGUGGACAGUGGUUGUGUUCCGCUUGAAACCAAGACAGUUUUCUUUCUUCCUCGCCGUUCCGGGGGCCCUUCAUCUCUGUCUCUCACCGCACGCAGGGGAGGUGAGGACCACAGCACCCUUCCGACGGGAGAGGUGGAAGGCGACGCGCUUUCUUUCUGGCUGCCCUCGGGCAGUGAGCCCCUCAGGCUUUGACCAUUAAGUGGGAUUGUGCAGCUGCCUUAUAUCAGGUUGAGAAGGUUCCCCCCCCUUUUUUUUCCCUCUCUUUUUAGGACCGCACCUGUAGUAUAUGGAAGUUCCCAGGCUCGGAUGUGAAUCAGAGCUGCAGCUGCCGGCCUACAGCACAGCCACGGCAAUGCCGGAUCCUUAACCCACUGACUGAGGCCGGGGAGCGAACCCUCAUCCUCAGGGACACCAUGUCGGAUCCUCAGCCUGCUGAGCCGCAGCGGGAGCUCCGAGAGCGCCCUAUCCCUCUUUGCGACAGGCUUUUUAAACUUGGGAAUGGAUGUUGAAUUGUCUUGAAUCCUUUUCUGUGCCAAUAGAUACGAUUAUGCAGGUUUUCUUCUGGGGUCUGUUCGUGUGAUGAUCCGCCUUGAUUGGUUUUUAAAUGUCGACCGGCCUUACUAGGGAGAAGAGAGCCUCUUGCUCAUGAUUCCUUAUCUUUUGGAAACGCGGCUGAUUUCGCUUGCCGGCACUGUGUUGAGCACCUGACCUCUCUCUUCACCUGCGCUGUCAGGCCGCUGUUUCCUCUGGCUGUCCGUCUCUGGCUGUGCUGGCCUCUGAGCAGCGCCGGCCUCAUGCCGCGCGUCGCAAGUGCUUUUCUUUCCGGGAAGCGGCUGUGGAGAGUCGGGCUCGUCUUUUCUAAAGGAGGUCCCGUCCUCUCGCGGGGGUCCUGAGACUGAGGCUGCGCUGGGGACAGAGCCGAGGUAACGCCCAAGCAGCUCCCCCCCGUGCUGGCCUCGGCCGCCCUGCAGGGUCCCCAGCUACAGCUGCCGUGUCUGUCCCGGCUCCUGGCUGCGACCAGGAGGACGGGGGCCCCUCCCGCUCGGCGGCACCGGAAGCCGUUUGUUGUCUCUUUGGGGAGAAGAGAGGAAGGAGGGGGUCGGGGCAGGAGGGCCCUUUCGAAGGGGGAGGGCCAGGCCGUUCUUUUUCUUGCAAGACUCUGCGAAGCGCGUCGCCGCUGCACGGAGCUGGUGUGCAGACGCCAGACGAGACCUCGGACCUGCUGUUCUGGGUUCCGGGACCUCGAGUGCUCGCGACUCGGUGACUCUGGGCCUCUUGCGGUCCGCGGUGGCCACAUGAUGGGCCAGAGGCACGCGCAGCCCUGCGCUGUGUCCCCGCCUCGCUCGAACCCCUGCCGUCGGGCUGUGCUCAUUCGGGCCGUUCACAGAGGGUCCGGGCCAUCUGGUCCAGCCACACGUGGAGGAACCUGGGUCCCGAGUCCCUGGGCCACGUCGGCCAGUGGCACCAGCACAAGAGUGGUGUCACCGGGGAAGACGCUGAGCUGUCUGUCGCGCAGCCAGACUUUAUUCCCCAAAGAGCCAACCUUAAGGGGCCCCCAGAACCUUUCUCUGGAUGGGCCACGAGGGGAACGUGGAACUUUCCACGAGGGACUUUCCAUCUCGUCUCCGUGUGACCCUCGCACUCGGCGUAUCAAGCUGACCCACUCGUGUUACUUUUAUUUUCUGCACAGCAGAGUUGAAAGUGAUACUGAGGGACUCUUUGGGAGAGUUUGACCUCUUGGAGGCAAGAGUCGCAAGGACAGGGGAAUAUGAUGAGGAUAAUUUUGGCACCGCCGAGGACACAGGGAACAUGUUACCUGCGCUGUAACUUGGGCAGAACGUGAGGGCUGUUUUCGCAGCCGAGACCCGCAGGUGAGGAAGAGGCGCCGUGCUGUCUGCCGACCGCCCGCUCCCGGGUCUUCCCGCGGUGCCCUUGCAGUGCCCUUGCACCGUUCGCGGGCACCGCGCCUGCGACAUUGGGGCCCAGCGCAGGGCCCGAGAAGCGGAUCUGCUUGGGGAGAGCUCGCUGGGCCGACAGGACUUCCUAGCACCGGGUCCCAGGAAGCGGCGGGCACGCCUGUCCCUGCCGCUCGGUGGAUGUGGUUUAAUUAAGCGAGGAGGGUGCCGCGGGAGACAGCGCUGCCCGCGGUUUGAUUUGUGAGAUGGUUAAAGCGUUUGGAAGCUCCUCGAAGAAAGCAGGUGGUGAGGGUGAAGGGCGGUCCCAUCAGAAGCAGCCCCGCACACACCUGGCCCAGGUCGAGGCGUUCCUGGGAAUCAGCUGCCUCUUCCCCGACCCGGGGGCGAGGGGCCGCGGCUGCAGGGGGCUGCGGCUCCAGGGAGCGCCCUCGGUCCCAGCGACCCCCAAGUCCCUGGGCCUUCAUUCUGUCUCCCUCUCGGGGCCCAGUCAGACCUACGGGAUCAGAACCUCUGGGGUCCCGCCUUCUUAGUUUUCAGGCUUCAAUUUUAAUGUAGUUGUGGGUUCACACUGAUCCUGAGAACCGAGGCGGAGACCCGUGUAGGCCUUACCCGCUCCCUUAGUAGCGGCGCCUUGCAGAACUGGAGUCAAGCGGACGCCCAGGGCACGGGGUUCGAACCGCAUCCCGUUCUGACGCCCUGCUUCUCUUUGUGCUCCUCUGUGCACACGUGUAUGGAAUUACACACCUCGGUGCGUUGUCGCAUGUGUGCCCAGCCACCGCCCAGAUGUGGACAUGCCCGUCGCCAGCUCAGCGCCGCCGGGGACGCCUGAGUGUUUGCUGAACGGACCUUCAGCGUCCGCUGGUGCCGAACCUGUGUGACAGGGAAGCGCUGGUCAGAUCCUCGAGCCCCGGGAGAAGCCAACGGCCACAUGGAACGAACCGUCAGCCUCUGCUUUCCCCGGAGCUCGGAGAAGUGCACGGAGGGGGCGUCUGAAGGUUACUCGGCUGUUGUUCUAAUGGAACAGAGAAGCAUGGACUCGGGCUUUAAAAAUAUGCGGCUCACAUGACAGCCAGAAAGGAAAGGAGGAAAAUUACCAGCGAGGGAGAGACGUGGGACCCGGCGGAUCCUGCAGGGCUCAGCGUUUUCCGAGUCAGUGCUCCUAGGAGACGGCGGGCUUUGGGGCUUCAGGUUGCAUUUCUUUGCUGCUGUGGCGCUGACCGGCGUGUGCCAGAAGGCGCAGCAGUUGGAGGGAAGGCAGGGCUGCUGCUGAGAACAGCCUUAUCGAGAUGUGGUUUGCAUCCCGGAAACUCACCUGCGUCGAGUGCAUGAAUCCUGCUGUUGACAGAGUUGCAGGAGCAACCCAGCCUGAUGCUGGACUUUCCACCACCCGGAAAAGGAGCAGCAGGCCGUUGCCACUCACUCCCCUGCGACCCCAGCCCUGGGCCGUCCCUCAUCUACUUUUUCUCUGUAUAUGUGCCUUCUUGUUUGUUCGACAUUCAGCAUAAAUGCAAUUUCACAACCUUCCCCUUUUCUGUCUGGCUUCCUUGACGUUGCAUAACACUUUGAAGGGUCACCCGUGUCGCGGCGCGUGGCAGGAGGUUCUUUUUAUUACCGGACAGCAUUCGAUUACGUGAGCGGACCGUACGGGUGGACUCAGAGGUACCGCGCGUUUCGUUCCAGAGCCCCGUGUAGUGAGUAGUGCGAGAAGCUGCGUCAUAAGCCAACCGCGUUGUUGCCCAGUGCGUGUAGACGUCAGGGGUACGCGGGGCUGUGUUACGUCUGAAGAUCCAAGUACAGGCCGUCAUUUAAAACACUUGAUCGUUAAAAAUGCCAUCCCCGGAGUCUUCAGGGAGUCGUAAUCCCGUGGCAGUAGGAACGUCAAAGGUGUGAUUCCCGGGUCACUGUGACAAACGCGGUAAUGACUAGAAGCGUGAAAGACCGUGAGAAUUACCAAAACGUCGCAUAGAGACACAAAGCGAGCAAACAGAUGCUAUUGGAAAGGUGGUGCCCAUAGGCUUGCCUGAUGCAGGGCUCCACAAACCUUUAAUUUGUUAAACAAAACAAAAACCACCCAACCCUCCCCCCCAAAAUGCAGUAUCUGUGAAGCGCAGUAAAAGGAGGUGUGUCUGUAUUGCGUCUGUCAGUCCACCGCCUGAGGGAUGGAUGGAUCCAGGGGUGAGCUCAUGGAUACUUGAGUUGUUUCCACUCUGGGGACCUUGUGGAAAAAGCUGCCACCAGCACGGUGUCCCGGUGUUCGCGAGGCCCUAGGCUCCCUUUCUCCCGGGUUCCGCGUAGGCGAGGAGUGGCUGAGUCACACGGGGACCAGGACCUGGUAGCUUAAGAAGCAGCAAAACAUUUUCCGAAGCGGCCGCCCCACUUACAUUCCCAUCAGCCGCGUGCACGGGUCCAGUCUCCCGCAUCCUCGCCAGAAAGGCGAGCUUUCUGCGAGCUCGGGCGACAGCCGUCGUAGUGGGUGAGCAGUGGUGUCUCUGGCGGCGGCGGCUGAGCCUUCGCCUUAUUGGCCUCGUCUGCCUCCCUGGGUCAGAUUUCCGUGUUCGAUUCUCCGUGAACAGGGCGCCCUUCACCCCCCACUGCGCGCUGCCAGCACUUCUCAGCCGGCGGGGGGCGGGGGGGGGGCUCUCUACAGGGCCUCUCCCCGCCCGACACAUCCUGGGCCCGGCACAUGGCUCCCUCUCCCGAGGCCAGGAGAGUUCUUGCCGAUUUUGUGCAGGAGGAAAGUAAAGCUUGUCCAGUUUGCUCUGUGGACGGGGCGGGGGCGCUGGGACCCACGUUGUCCUCUUGGCUUCGUGUCCGAGGCCGCCGAGAGCAAGCGUCCAGAUGGCAGGAGUGCUUUCCUCUGCGGGUCCGCUUCUGAGAACUGGCCUUCUCUUCCUUUUUGGGAUUUUAGUCCUGCAGUACAAUGUACCUGCUACAGAACUUGACCAUUUUUUAAAAAAUUAA
Sus scrofa (pig) is the source of this 6443-nucleotide non-coding RNA. The record is from RefSeq and is a predicted model, not a curated record. NCBI's taxonomy places the organism in Eukaryota, Metazoa, Chordata, Mammalia, Artiodactyla, Suidae.